This 440-nucleotide ribosomal RNA is filed under the name uncultured bacterium. RNAcentral describes it as "partial 16S ribosomal RNA". It matches the Rfam family "Bacterial small subunit ribosomal RNA", at positions 338 to 795 of the family's 1533-position model. The record is from RNAcentral.
CCUACGGGUGGCAGCAGUGGGGAAUAUUGCACAAUGGGGGCAACCCUGAUGCAGCAACGCCGCGUGAGUGAAGAAGUAUUUCGGUACGUAAAGCUCUUUCAGCAGGGAAGAAAAUGCCGGUACCUGACUAAGAAGCCCCGUCUCACUACGUUCCAGCAGCAGCGGUACUACGUAGGGGGCAAGCGUUAUCCGGAUUUACUGGGUGUAAGGGGAGAGUUGACGGCAGGGCAAGUCUGGAGUGAAAUCCCAUGGCUUAACCAUGGAAAUGCUUUGGAAACUGUGCAGCUGGAGUGCAGGAGAGGUAAGCGGAAUGCCGGGUGUAGCGGUGAAAUGCGUAGAUAUUAGGAGGAACACCAGUGGCGAAGGCGGAUUACUGGACUGUAACUGACGUUGAGGCGCGAAAGCGUGGGGAGCAAACAGGAUUAGAUACCCGAGUAGUC